ACCAGACUCCUACGGGAGGCAGCAGUGGGGAAUAUUGCACAAUGGGGGAAACCCUGAUGCAGCGACGCCGCGUGAGUGAAGAAGUAUUUCGGUAUGUAAAGCUCUAUCAGCAGGGAAGAAAGAAAUGACGGUACCUGACUAAGAAGCCCCGGCUAACUACGUGCCAGCAGCCGCGGUAAUACGUAGGGGGCAAGCGGUAUCCGGAUUUACUGGGUGUAAAGGGAGCGUAGACGGCAGAGCAAGUCUGAAGUGAAAGCCCGCGGCCCAACUGCGGGACUGCUUUGGAAACUGCCCGGCUAGAGUGCUGGAGAGGUAAGCGGAAUUCCUAGUGUAGCGGUGAAAUGCGUAGAUAUUAGGAGGAACACCAGUGGCGAAGGCGGCUUACUGGACAGUAACUGACGUUGAGGCUCAAAAGCGUGGGGAGCAAACAGGAUUAGAUACCCGGGUACU
RNAcentral lists this ribosomal RNA (450 nucleotides) under uncultured bacterium. Its description in RNAcentral is "bacterial SSU rRNA". It matches the Rfam family "Bacterial small subunit ribosomal RNA", at positions 330 to 794 of the family's 1533-position model. The record is from RNAcentral.